This 5739-nucleotide long non-coding RNA is filed under the name Populus trichocarpa (black cottonwood). Its description in RNAcentral is "long non-coding RNA (PTRI_LNC000147)". The record is from RNAcentral. Lineage: Eukaryota; Viridiplantae; Streptophyta; Magnoliopsida; Malpighiales; Salicaceae.
CCCUAUUACUAUUGGAAGAAGAAGAGAGAACGGAUCUAUCUUUGAGUUUGAGGCUUUUUCUUUUUUCUUUCAAUCCUCAUUAAAAGGUAGGACUGUCAUCCAAGCUUUGAGGCCGGAUGCUGAUGAUGUAGUAAACCUUGAAAGUAAAAUAAAAGAAACACAGUACUCUCAUAGAAUUGGUUAUAAUUUUCCAGUCGAAGAAAAAUUAUAUGGCGUGCCAUUAAAACCUCUUGUUAGCAUUCUAACUAUGACAAACAGGAAAUGUAAAGAGGAGAGGUAUCUUGGAGAUGAUUUUGAAAUUGUAGCAUCUAAAUGACAAGAUAACACAAGAGAAAUUCUGAAAUGUUUUCUGUAUUUUUCACUAAGAGAGCUACAAUAUAUAUAUACAUCAAGAAGUAGCAAAGCCCUUAAUUCUGGAAUCUAAUCAUCAUAAUCAGAUCCUUUUAGUCCUAGGCCUAGACAAUAAUUGAGGUCUUUAGAGAGAAUCAAGGGAUAUACAGCUAUGACAGAAAUUGAAUAAGAAAAGAAGAAUAUACUGACAGCUACAAAAGAAAAGAAGAAUAUACUGACAGCUACAAAAGAAAGACUGACAGCUAUUAAAGAAAUGCAAGAAGGAAAGGAGAUAUUGACAUCCCCCCUCAAAUUGAUGCGGGUAGGUCUAACAACAUCAAUUUGCUGCUGAGAAACUGAUGGCGUUGGCGUGUUAAGGCUUUUGUAAAGGCAUCAGCUAUUUGAAGAGCAGUAUUGAGAUGAGGAAGAGUGAUAACACCCCGAGUAAAGGCCUCCCUAAUAUAAUGACAGUCCACCUCUAUGUGCUUAGUGCGUUCAUGGUAGACCGGAUUCGCAGCUAUUUGAAUAGCACUAGUAUUAUCACCAUGAAGAGGAGUAGGAGCAGUUGGGGGAAACCCAAGUUCAGAAAGAAGACCACGUAACCACACAAUUUCAGAACAAGCUGCAGACAUGGCGCGAUACUCGGCUUCUGUAGAAGAUUUAGAGACACAAUCCUGCUUCUUACACUUCCAAGAAAUCAAGGCAUCGCCAAGAAAAAUGCACCACCCUGUGAUAGACUUCCGAGUAUCCGGGCAGCCAGCCCAAUCUGCAUCACUAUAGGAAGUCAAGGUAAGAGGAGAAUGUUUAGGAAAAAACAACCCACGAGUAGGGGACCCAAUUAAGUAUCGAAUAAGACGACGAACUGCAGCAAGAUGAAGAUGGCGAGGUGCCUGCAUAAAUUUGCUAACGAUAUGGACAGCAUAGGAGAUAUCAGGCCGUGUAAUGGUGAGGUAGAUAAGACUACCAACAAGUUGCCUAUAUAAAAAAGGAUCAGGCAAAAGGUCGCCUUCAUCUUUUCGGUAUUUCACAUUCACCUCCAUUGGUGUAUCAACAGCAGUAGCAUCCUUUAAACCAGCUAACUCAAUGAGAUCCUGAAUAUAUUUAUGUUGAUUUAAGAACAAACCAUGAUCUCUAGAGUGAACUUCCAGCCCCAAAAAAUAUGUGAGAUGUCCAAGAUCUUUCAUUUGAAAUGUACUAUGCAACAUAUGUUGAAGCUUGGUGAUCAACCCAAUGUCAUUACCAGUGAGGAUAAUAUCAUCAACAUAGACUAAGAGAAAUACCAUACCAGUGGUGGUCUUGUAAAAGAAAAGUGAGGAAUCAUAUUGACUUUGUGUGAAGGAGAAGGUGAGGAGAGUGUUGCGAAACUUCUCAAACCAAGCUCUAGGUGCCUGUUUCAACCCAUACAAAGAGCGUCUUAGUUUGCAAACUUCAUCAGAAGCCGUUGUGGACAUACCAGGUGGAAGUUUCAUAUAAAUCUCUUCCUUAAGAUCCCCAUGCAAGAAGGCAUUUGUCACAUCCAUCUGAUAUAAAGGCCAAGCUUGAGAGGCUGCAAUAGCAAGAAGUGUUCUCACCGUAGUCAUCUUAGCAACGGGUGCAAAUGUUUCUUCAUAGUCGAAGCCAUAUUCUUGUUUAUUGCCAAGAGCAACCAAUCGAGCUUUGUAUCUAUCCAAAGAUCCAUCAGACUUGAGUUUCACAGUAUAAACCCACUUGCUACCAAUGGGCUUGACAUGUGGAGGACAAGAAAUAAUGUCCCAAGUAUGAUUGGCCUUAAGUGCAUGAAGUUCAGCCUCCAUUGCUUGUUUCCAGCACUCAUGUUCUCUAGCCUGUUUAUAACAAGUGGGAAUGGAAAUAGAAGACAGAGUAGUAGACAUAGCCACAGGAGUUGAAAAACCAUACCUUUCAGGAGGUUUGUGAGGUCUAGAGCUUUUACGAAGAGGAGGGGGAUCAUAGGAAAUGGGCAGAACAGGAUCAGAUGCUGCAGGAAGAUGUGAAGGAACCUCAGUGAGACCUGGAGAAGGAUCAGAAGUAGGAGUGCGUCUAUGAUAAACAUAAACAGGGUUAAACCUUUGUACUGGUGUUGGCGACUCAGGAAAACAUGGUAAAACAGAUAGAGAAGGAAGUACUGAAGGCUGUUGGGUGCAAAAGAAGGGCUGAUUUUCAAAAAAUAUGACAUUCCUAGAGACACGAGUUCGACGGGCAUGUGGAUCAUAACAAAGAAAUCCUUUUUGGGUGACAGCAUAGCCUAAGAAAGCACACUUGACAGAUUGGGCAGUAAGUUUAUUUCUCUCAUGUGCAGGAAGGUGAACAAAACAAACACAACCAAAAAUAUGAAGAUUGGAAUAAUUUGGUGCAUGUCCAAACAAACGAACGUAGGGAGAAUCAUUGUUCAAGUGAGGAGAUGGUAAUCGAUUAAUCAAAUAAACAGCAGUACACAAAGCUUCACACCAAAAAUGAGAAGGAACACAUGACUCAAGGAGAAGGGUUCGAACAACGUCAAGAAGAUGACGAUUCUUUCUUUCAGCCACACCAUUUUGUUGUGGGGUGAAAGGACAAGAACGUUGUGAUAUGAUCCCAUGACUUUGAAGAAAAAAUUGAAAUUCAUUUGACAUAUAUUCACCACCUGAAUCAGAUUGCAGAAUUUUGAUUUUGGCAGAAAAUUGUGUCUCAACUAAGGCAAGAAGGGCUUUAAACACAAAGAAGACCUCACUUUUAGAUCGAAGAAAAUAUACCCAAGUAAAACGAGUGAAAUCAUCUAUAAAUGUAACAAAGUAUUUGUAAUGUUCAUGAGAAAUGACAGGUGCAAUACCCCAUACAUCAGUAUGCACGAUUUCAAAAGGUUUGGUGGUGCGGGUUUUAUGCAAUGGAAAAGGAAGUGUUUUGCUUUUACCAAGUUUGCAAGAUGCACAAUCAACAAUAUCAUUAUUAGAAGAAGUCGAAUUUUUAUUUCCUAGUAAACCAGAUUUAAACAAGACUCGAAGUACAUGAGAAUUAGGAUGUCCUAAACGUCUAUGCCACACCUGAUUAUCACAUUGAACAACAUUACAUGCAACAUAAUUUGACAUAGGAGAGGGAGAUAGAAGCAAGGGAAAUAGGCGUCCCACUUUAGGUCCCUUCGCGAUCAUCUUCCCGGACACUUGAUCCUGCACAAAACAACCAGAUUUGGAAAAAUGAACAUCACAAUUGUUGUCAACUAAUUGGCCAACAGAUAUAAGAUUAGUGGACAGCUUAGGAGACACAAAGACAGUAUUCAGAAGGGCUGAAAUAUCACCAACAGCUGUGAUAGACAAGGGAUUACCAUCGGCAGUACGAAUAUGAAGAUUGCCUUUAUAUUUUUGAACAUUAUUUAAAGGUAAGGCAGUGUUGGUCAUGUGAUUGGAAGCAGCAGAAUCAAAAUACCAAGGCUUAGGAAUAGAAUUUCGGUUACCUGAAAGGCCUAAAGCAGAAAGGGCAGAAACUAUCAUUUGUUGGACCAUUUCAGGGGUAAUAGAGGACUGACCAGGACUAGGAGUAUUUGAGGAACCAACCGAGACAUUAUAGGCAGUUUCAGAUUUCUUUGGAGGCCGGAUGGAGCAGUCUUUGAUGAUAUGCCCUGUUUUCUUACAAUAGUUGCAGAAUUUUUUAGUACAAGUAGUGGCAAUGUGCCCAAAUCCUUUGCAGCUAUAGCACUGGACAUUUGACAUAUUUCUACCUCCUUUAGACCUCCCUUGAGCAGUGUAUGCAACAGGAAUUGGAGUAGAAGUUUGAGCUUUCUGCUCUAAAACAGCCUGUGUAAUGAUCCGUUGUUCUUCCCUGAGAAGUUCUCCUACACAAAUAUCCAAGAAAGGAACUGGUUGUCUAUUCAUCAGGUUGGACCUGAUUGCUUCAAAUUCUCCCCUUAACUUCAUUAAAAACUGAUCACGUUUGCUGGUCUCAUGCACACUUUGAAUAACAAUAAGUCCUUCAGGAGGUACACUUGCAUACACAAUAUCUGUGUACUCAGCCCAAAGAUUUACAAAGGAAGAAUAAAACUCUUGUAUUGACAUACUGCCUUGACUGAGUUGACCCAACUCGAGUUCCAAUUGGAAUCUUCGUGCUGUAUUGCUUUGGUUGUAAACUUUCUUCAGGUAAUCCCACAUCUCUCUAGAGGAUUUGUAAGGCUUGAGAUUGAGAAGCAUGGAGUGUUCCAUACUUCCAAGGAUCCAAGACAUAAUCUGAGCAUCCUUCACCUCCCAUUUCACAUAUUUCUCUUUCUCCUGCUCACUGUCAGGUGCAGGAACUGUCCCAGCAAUAUGACCCCAUAAUUCCCCCCUUAACUUCAUUAAAAACUGAUCACGUUUGCUGGUCUCAUGCACACUUUGAAUAACAAUAAGUCCUUCAGGAGGUACACUUGCAUACACAAUAUCUGUGUACUCAGCCCAAAGAUUUACAAAGAAAGAGUAAAACUCUUGUAUUGACAUACUGCCUUGACUGAGUUGACCCAACUCGAGUUCCAAUUGGAAUCUUCGUGCUGUAUUGCUUUGGUUGUAAACUUUCUUCAGGUAAUCCCACAUCUCUCUAGAGGAUUUGUAAGGCUUGAGAUUGAGAAGCAUGGAGUGUUCCAUACUUCCAAGGAUCCAAGACAUAAUCUGAGCAUCCUUCACCUCCCAUUUCACAUAUUUCUCUUUCUCCUGCUCACUGUCAGGUGCAGGAACUGUCCCAGCAAUAUGACCCCAUAAUUCCUUUCCCUUGACAAAAAUCUGAAACUGGAAAGCCCAGGCAGAAUAGUUCUUUCCAGUAAAUCGAACAAGAAAAUGUUCAGAUCGUUCCAGAGACAUGAUUUAACUAGAAACAAGAACCAAGAGAUCAAGUCCAAGAAAAACAGAAUAGAAGAACCAGACAAGGAACUAGAUACAAGAUGAAUUGAUUUCAGAGUUUUGGCUCUGAUACCAUGACAAGAUAACACAAGAGAAAUUCUGAAAUGUUUUCUGUAUUUUUCACUAAGAGAGCUACAAUAUAUAUAUACAUCAAGAAGUAGCAAAGCCCUUAAUUCUGGAAUCUAAUCAUCAUAAUCAGAUCCUUUUAGUCCUAGGCCUAGACAAUAAUUGAGGUCUUUAGAGAGAAUCAAGGGAUAUACAGCUAUGACAGAAAUUGAAUAAGAAAAGAAGAAUAUACUGACAGCUACAAAAGAAAAGAAGAAUAUACUGACAGCUACAAAAGAAAGACUGACAGCUAUUAAAGAAAUGCAAGAAGGAAAGGAGAUAUUGACACUAAACUGGUAAGUUAGCUUCACCAAAAAAGGCUAGAAUUGAAAAGUGCAUAGAUUGCAAAAGGAAAAAAAAAAUAGCAUGUCACAGAAAAUGGAUACAAACCAACCUUUUUCCCCCUCUCAAUUGCCUGAUCAGUCUCAUCCAUCAUCUGAUUUCCAUGAUCCAUUAUUUGUUGGUUUGUCAU